CAGUCGCCGCGGUAAUACGGAGGGGGCUAGCGUUGUUCGGAAUUACUGGGCGUAAAGCGCACGUAGGCGGCUUGGUAAGUUAGAGGUGAAAGCCCGGAGCUCAACUCCGGAAUUGCCUUUAAGACUGCCGAGCUAGCAGGUGAGAGAGGUAAGUGGAAUUCCGAGUGUAGAGGUGGAAUUCGUAGAUAUUCGGAAGAACACCAGUGGCGAAGGCGGCUUACUGGCUCAUACUGGACGCUGAGGUGCGAAAGCGUGGGGAGCAAACAGGAUUAGAUACCCCCGUAGUCCCUGUCUCUUAUAC
This 301-nucleotide ribosomal RNA is filed under the name uncultured bacterium. RNAcentral describes it as "partial 16S ribosomal RNA". It matches the Rfam family "Bacterial small subunit ribosomal RNA", at positions 509 to 807 of the family's 1533-position model. The record is from RNAcentral.